CAGAGAGUGAAAUCCUUACAUUGC
This 24-nucleotide non-coding RNA is filed under the name Arabidopsis thaliana (thale cress). Lineage: Eukaryota; Viridiplantae; Streptophyta; Magnoliopsida; Brassicales; Brassicaceae. The record is from RNAcentral.